UGGGGAAUAUUGGACAAUGGGCGCAAGCCUGAUCCAGCCAUGCCGCGUGAGUGAUGAAGGCCCUAGGGUUGUAAAGCUCUUUCACCGGUGAAGAUAAUGACGGUAACCGGAGAAGAAGCCCCGGCUAACUUCGUGCCAGCAGCCGCGGUAAUACGAAGGGGGCUAGCGUUGUUCGGAUUUACUGGGCGUAAAGCGCACGUAGGCGGACUAUUAAGUCAGGGGUGAAAUCCCGGGGCUCAACCCCGGAACUGCCUUUGAUACUGGUAGUCUUGAGUUCGAGAGGGGUGAGUGGAAUUCCGAGUGUAGGGGUGAAAUUCGUAGAUAUUCGGAGAAACACCAGUGGCGAAGGCGGCUCACUGGCUCGAUACUGACGCUGGGGUGCGAAAGCGUGGGGAGCAAACAGG
This 404-nucleotide ribosomal RNA is filed under the name Actinomycetes bacterium. Its description in RNAcentral is "Actinobacteria bacterium partial 16S ribosomal RNA". It matches the Rfam family "Bacterial small subunit ribosomal RNA", at positions 355 to 776 of the family's 1533-position model. The record is from RNAcentral. Lineage: Bacteria; Bacillati; Actinomycetota; Actinomycetes.